Molecule: transfer RNA, 73 nt
Filed under: Leucobacter luti
Lineage: Bacteria; Bacillati; Actinomycetota; Actinomycetes; Micrococcales; Microbacteriaceae
Rfam family: tRNA
About the family: Transfer RNA (tRNA) molecules are approximately 80 nucleotides in length. Their secondary structure includes four short double-helical elements and three loops (D, anti-codon, and T loops).
Source: Rfam by way of RNAcentral
GCCCCGAUAGCUCAUCAGGUAGAGCAGCGGCCUUGUAAACCGCUUGUGGCCGGUUCGAGUCCGGCUCGGGGCU